RNAcentral lists this transfer RNA (74 nucleotides) under Epirixanthes elongata. RNAcentral describes it as "tRNA-Met". It matches the Rfam family "tRNA". Rfam says of the family: Transfer RNA (tRNA) molecules are approximately 80 nucleotides in length. Their secondary structure includes four short double-helical elements and three loops (D, anti-codon, and T loops). The record is from RNAcentral. Lineage: Eukaryota; Viridiplantae; Streptophyta; Magnoliopsida; Fabales; Polygalaceae.
GCAUCCAUGGCUGAGUGGUUAAAGCGCCCAACUCAUAAUUGGCGAUGUCGUAGGUUCAAUUCCUACUGGAUGAA